This 762-nucleotide long non-coding RNA is filed under the name Mytilus galloprovincialis (Mediterranean mussel). Lineage: Eukaryota; Metazoa; Mollusca; Bivalvia; Mytilida; Mytilidae. The record is from RNAcentral.
GGACCUUAAUGUAGACCAAUUUGAAAACGGGACCAAAAAUUAAGAAUCUACAUACAUAGUUAGAUUCGGCAUAUCAAAGAACCCCAAUUAUUCAAUUUUUGAUGAAAUCACACAAAGUUCAAUUUGGACCCUUUGGGCCCCUUAUUCCUAAACUGUUGGGACCAAAACUCCCAAAAUCAAACCCAACCUUCCUUUUAUGGUCAUAAACCUUGUGUUUAAAUUUCAUAGAUUUCUAAUUACUUAUACUAAAGUUAUGGUGCAAAAACCAAAAAUAAUGCUUAUUUGGGCCCCUUUUUGGCCCCUAAUUCAUAAACUCUUGUUACCUCAACUCCAAAAAUCAAUCCCAACCAUCCUUUUGUGGUCAUAAACCUUGUGUUUAAAUUUCAUUGAUUUCUAUUUACUUAUACUAAAGUUAUUGUGCGAAAACCAAGAAUAAUGCUUAUUUGGGCCCCUUUUUUGGCCCUUAAUUCCUAAACUGUUGGAACCAAAACUCCCAAAAUCAAUCCCAACCUUCCUUUUGUGGUCAUAAACCUUGUGUCAAAAUUCAUAGAUUUCUAUUCACUUAAACUAAAGUUAUAGUGCGAAAACCAAGAAAAUGCUUAUUUAGGCCCUUUUUGGCCCCUAAUUCCUAAAAUGUUGGGACCAAAACUCCCAAAAUCAAUCCCAACCUUCCUUUUGUGGUCAUAAACCUUGUGUUAAAAUUUCAUUGAUUUCUAUUCACUUUUUACUAAAGUUAGAGUGCGAAAACUAAAAGUAUUCGGA